UAUUGCACAAUGGGGGAAACCCUGAUGCAGCGACGCCGCGUGAGUGAGGAAGUAUUUCGGUAUGUAAACUUCUUUUCUCAGGGACGAAGCAAGUGACGGUACCUGAGGAAUAAGCCACGGCUAACUACGUGCCAGCAGCCGCGGUAAUACGUAGGUGGCAAGCGUUAUCCGGAUUUACUGGGUGUAAAGGGCGUGUAGGCGGGAAAGCAAGUCAGAUGUGAAAACCAUGGGCUCAACCUGUGGCCUGCAUUUGAAACUGUUUUUCUUGAGUACUGGAGAGGCAGACGGAAUUCCUAGUGUAGCGGUGAAAUGCGUAGAUAUUAGGAGGAACACCAGUGGCGAAGGCGGUCUGCUGGACAGCAACUGACGCUGAGGCGCGAAAGCGUGGGGAGCAAACA
Molecule: ribosomal RNA, 398 nt
Filed under: uncultured bacterium
Lineage: Bacteria
Description: bacterial SSU rRNA
Rfam family: Bacterial small subunit ribosomal RNA
Source: RNAcentral